Molecule: long non-coding RNA, 1199 nt
Organism: Mauremys reevesii (Reeves's turtle)
Lineage: Eukaryota; Metazoa; Chordata; Testudines; Geoemydidae
Exons: 2
Source: RefSeq, a predicted model, not a curated record
AGUUCUAGAGGGGACAAUCAAUCAGGUGGCCGAUGGACUCCUUUGCCACUGCGUGAAGUCUCCACCUGUAGGUCUGAAGAAGUAAAGAAGAUGAACUCCAUCCUGUCUUUCACCAAGUGUCUAAGGCUAUAUCUACCCUCCAAUCGGGAUCAAGGCUAUGAGAUCAAUCCACCGGCAGUCAAUUUAGCAAGUCUAGUGAAGACCUGCUAGAUCAACAGCAGAUCACUCUGCAGUCGACCCCUGUACUCUACCCCCAACAACCCUGUGGUAACUCAACCUAAGAAUGAAGAAAAGGCCUCUCUGCUCACUGAAGGAAAUGCACAUGUUCCAAGCAUGCAGCCCCCGUUAAAAAAGAAAAAAAAAAUGCAGUCUCUCACUACUUCAUGUUCCAUGGCCAGAGAAACAGGAGGUUCUCGAUCCACACUCACAGAUGAGUCUGCAUUUAUGUAUGGAUUUUACUCAUGCUUUUUGUUGUUGUUCUUGCUUAAAACCAAAGUUUUUCUUUCUUAAGGUUUGGAUAUAAAGAAGGGAGGGAAUGCAUAGUUAUUACAUCAAAUGCAAGUUUAGCCCACUGUCUUGCUACAAAGUGAUAUGCAGCCUGGUUGCCUUUUGAUACCCUCUCCCCACCAGAACCCUAGCUGUCUGCCAGAUAUCACCAUCCCUUGUCACAGUCACCCACUCCCGUCCUCGAUGCUCAGUUCUAGUUCUUGGUGGCUGGGACUCCCAUCCAAGCCAGCAUUAUAAUCCUGAUGUGCGUCCAACAAAAACACAGAUGUGUUUAAAAAAUAUAAAUCUUUAACUAUUUUUGCUCUUCUUCAGAAGGAACUCAACUAUUAAAUCAAUUUACAACCCUUAAGUGCUGUCUCUGAAUUGUUUCCCUGAGAUAGGUGUAUGAUUAGAAGCCACUUAAAGAGAAGCACUGAAGGGUUAUACCAACUGCUGAAUUAAAGUAAACUGAAUAGCAAACAACGGUUUAGGGUCACCACACACACAAUUUUUGUUUUUCUGGGUGGGGAGGAGAGGAAUUUUAGGACUCAUUCCAUGCUAGUUCUAUAAUGUAAUCUAUUGCCUGUUGCAGAGCAUCUUCCUUAUACUAAAAAUGCUUACUUAAUCCUUCAUUACUUCACCUAUCUAAAUCCAGCCCAUGGCUUACUUCCCCAUUAAGUUGAUAUCCCUUUAGAUACAGGGGUGUGUAUGCU